UACGUAGGGAGCAAGCGUUGUUCGGAUUUACUGGGCGUAAAGGGCGCGUAGGCGGCGCGGUAAGUCACUUGUGAAAUCUCUGAGCUUAACUCAGAACGGCCAAGUGAUACUGCAGUGCUAGAGUGCAGAAAGGGCAAUCGGAAUUCUUGGUGUAGCGGUGAAAUGCGUAGAUAUCAAGAGGAACACCUGAGGCGAAGGCGGGUUGCUAGGCUGACACUGACGCUGAGGAGCGAAAGCGUGGGGAGCGAACAGG
RNAcentral lists this ribosomal RNA (253 nucleotides) under uncultured bacterium. Its description in RNAcentral is "partial 16S ribosomal RNA". It matches the Rfam family "Bacterial small subunit ribosomal RNA", at positions 524 to 776 of the family's 1533-position model. The record is from RNAcentral.